This 536-nucleotide RNase P RNA is filed under the name Bombus terrestris (buff-tailed bumblebee). RNAcentral's name for it is "misc RNA ENSBTSG00005029714.1". It matches the Rfam family "Nuclear RNase P". From Rfam's summary of the family: Ribonuclease P (RNase P) is a ubiquitous endoribonuclease, found in archaea, bacteria and eukarya as well as chloroplasts and mitochondria. Its best characterised activity is the generation of mature 5'-ends of tRNAs by cleaving the 5'-leader elements of precursor-tRNAs. Cellular RNase Ps are ribonucleoproteins. The record is from RNAcentral. Lineage: Eukaryota; Metazoa; Arthropoda; Insecta; Hymenoptera; Apidae.
GCCAGGGUCAAUCUAGCAGAAGAGGCACACGUGGCUGGGGUACUUAGUUACCGCGAUGUUCUGCCUCGGGAAGGUCUGAGAUAAAGUUUGCCUCUCUUCCAACAGGGAGAAGGGACGCUCUAGAAGGGCGAUCCUGUAAAUGGGAUACGAGAAAACCAGAAACAGCGGUAAACCAGCCUUCUGUCGCCGUGGACGCCAAGUGUUUCCCUUCUCCUUCUCUUUCUUCUCUAUGGUUCCUAUUCUAUGGUCCCAUUCUACGCUGUCACGUUCUUCAUAGUUUCUUCAUAGCGUUUGCCUUAUUUUCACGUUUCCUCUCCCGAAUCCCUGCAACUAUGUUUCUUGAGAAUACGAGAGAAAGAGAGAGAAAGAUGGGAAAAACUGGCAGAGGUCGGCUGGCCAUACCGAUGGAAAUUCUCGUGACUCGCAAUUUCAGUACAAUCUGCAAGCCAUCCCUCCGCGUCUAUGUAUCUACACUCGUAUUUCGUGGACUCUUCUAAGGUGGGGUGGAACUCAAUUCAGACUAAUCUGACUCUGGC